Molecule: ribosomal RNA, 829 nt
Filed under: Mycobacterium sp.
Lineage: Bacteria; Bacillati; Actinomycetota; Actinomycetes; Mycobacteriales; Mycobacteriaceae
Description: bacterial SSU rRNA
Rfam family: Bacterial small subunit ribosomal RNA
Source: RNAcentral
UGAGUAACACGUGGGCAAUCUGCCCUGCACUUCGGGAUAAGCCUGGGAAACUGGGUCUAAUACCGGAUAGGACCUUUAGGCGCAUGCCUUUUGGUGGAAAGCUUUUGCGGUGUGGGAUGGGCCCGCGGCCUAUCAGCUUGUUGGUGGGGUGAUGGCCUACCAAGGCGACGACGGGUAGCCGGCCUGAGAGGGUGUCCGGCCACACUGGGACUGAGAUACGGCCCAGACUCCUACGGGAGGCAGCAGUGGGGAAUAUUGCACAAUGGGCGCAAGCCUGAUGCAGCGACGCCGCGUGGGGGAUGACGGCCUUCGGGUUGUAAACCUCUUUCACCAUCGACGAAGGUCCGGGUUUUCUCGGAUUGACGGUAGGUGGAGAAGAAGCACCGGCCAACUACGUGCCAGCAGCCGCGGUAAUACGUAGGGUGCGAGCGUUGUCCGGAAUUACUGGGCGUAAAGAGCUCGUAGGUGGUUUGUCGCGUUGUUCGUGAAAUCUCACGGCUUAACUGUGAGCGUGCGGGCGAUACGGGCAGACUAGAGUACUGCAGGGGAGACUGGAAUUCCUGGUGUAGCGGUGGAAUGCGCAGAUAUCAGGAGGAACACCGGUGGCGAAGGCGGGUCUCUGGGCAGUAACUGACGCUGAGGAGCGAAAGCGUGGGGAGCGAACAGGAUUAGAUACCCUGGUAGUCCACGCCGUAAACGGUGGGUACUAGGUGUGGGGUUUCCUUCCUUGGGAUCCGUGCCGUAGCUAACGCAUUUAAGUACCCCCGCCUGGGGGAGUACGGGCCGCAAAGGCUAAAACUCAAAGGAAUUUGACGGGGGGCCCGCACAA